ACAAAUUAAUUGUGGCCGAGUCAUAGACCUAAUAUCAAAUGGACAGGCCCUUAGAGAGAAAUUCUGGCAUGCCGCAUAUGAAAGAGAGAGAUGGAGCUAGAUGAGUCAACGUCAAAAUCAUAUGAUCAAAACAUUGAACUCACAUUCAGAAAAUCGCUAAUUUUUCUCUCAUUCUGAAUUGAACACAUAGUUAAUCUGAUUGAUUCGAUUUGUAAAAGUGUUGAACAUUCUAAUAAAAGGAAUUAGCGAAUCCAUCUGCUAUUGCGAAAUUCAAAGCACCAAAAGAACUAAUUUUCAAAUAAAAUGCCUCACACCCGUGCAGCCUUCAAUUGUACAGCGAGCUUAGAAAAAAGCCAAAAGUUGAAAUUUCAUUCUUCACAGUUUUCCAAAGGAUGACAAAUUAAGGGAACAGUGGAUGAAAGCUGAAGAAGAAUUGAUUUCAACCCUUUUUCCUUGUUGAAAAUAUGCAGCAACCGUUUGCAUCAACAUGAUUUAUUAAUAUUCAUGGUACAAAAACUCUGAAAAAAAAUGUUAUUCCUUCAGUUUUCAGUUUCUCCAAUUAUAUGCCUGAGAGAUUAAAUUAUGGAGAUAAAUGUCUUGAAGAUAAUAUUGAAGAAAUUGAACAGGACCAGCCAGAGACAAAACAGCAAGAGAUGGGGCAACCAGAGACGGUACAACUGUUUAUAAUAUCAAAAUCCUCUGCUGCUGUCAUGGAGGAUUUUCCCCCCAGAUUGAAUACUAAAAUUAGAAACCUGGGAAUGAGGAUUUCCAAGAAUGGAACACUAGACGAAGUAAUAUCUGAGAGAAACAUCCAAAGAAAACCAAUAAUCUCAAUGUUAAAUAGGAUAUUAUCGAUUAAAAACAUAAAUGUGAAUAAUAAGAAAAAAUUUACUCAAUAGCAUUAGUUAGGAGCAUAACAUACAGCUCUGAAGUGGACAGCAGCUGGAAAAUCUGAAAGGGACAUGAUACCAAAUGAUACAAUAAGACAUAGAAUGGAAAUAAGACAUGAUAUUAUUGAUCUUAAGAACACAACAGCUGGUUUGGUACAAACAAGUCCAUAAAUACUUAUGAUACUAGGUGUGAUUUAAACAAUAAUAAUUUUGAAAUUUUCAGUUUUUUAGAUUGCCAUACUAAAUGAGGAACAUAUUCUGUGCCGUGGCUUAAAAAUUCAUCUUUAGAGAAGCUCAUUCACUGAAAGGCUGAAAAUGGGAAAAAUGAAUGUAUCAUAACUGAUCCUUGGAGAGAUAAGGAGAAGAAGAUCCAUAAAUUUCAAGAUUUGGAGGAGUUUAGAACUAAGAAGAGGAAGAGCUCAAUUCUGAUAUUUUUCAAUAUCCUGGAUAUUAAAUGAUUGGAAGAGUGAAUAUCCUCCUUAGUGGAGAGUAAGAAAUCCGACUGCGAAUAUGUUCUUCCUCAUGCGCUGAUAGGCUAGAGUCGGACCAUUUUUUAAAUUAUUUAUUGUAAUAAUGUAUUUUGAACAGCAAUAAAAACUUAAUGAAUACAAUUCUUCAUAAACUCUCUUUUUUUAAUUGCCUGUGAUAUCUGGAAACAAUUUUUUGAAAGAUUUUACUAUUAUCAAAUUGAUAAGUGACUUGAACUAAACUAGUUGGAAGUAAUACAAAAUUGAAGAAUGAAAUGUAAUAGACAUAACUGAUUGUAUUUAAACGAUAAAAUUGUU
Molecule: long non-coding RNA, 1675 nt
Organism: Harmonia axyridis
Lineage: Eukaryota; Metazoa; Arthropoda; Insecta; Coleoptera; Coccinellidae
Exons: 6
Source: RefSeq, a predicted model, not a curated record